This 455-nucleotide ribosomal RNA is filed under the name uncultured bacterium. Its description in RNAcentral is "bacterial SSU rRNA". It matches the Rfam family "Bacterial small subunit ribosomal RNA", at positions 327 to 793 of the family's 1533-position model. The record is from RNAcentral.
AGCAGAGCACUCCUACGGGAGGCAGCAGUCGAGAAUCGUCCGCAAUGCACUAACGUGUGACGGCGCGACGUCGCGUGAUGGAUGAAUCACUUCGGUGUGUAAACAUCUUUUAUGAGGGAGGAAAUUUAUUGACGUGUACCUCAUGUAAUAAGGGGCUCCUAAAUUCGUGCCAGCAGGAGCGGUAACACGAAUGCCCCGAGCGUUAUCCGGAAUUACUGGGCGUAAAGGGUCCGCAGGCGGCUCUGUUAGUCCGGCGUUAAAUCACGAGGCUUAACCUCGUGGCUGCGUCGGAAACGGCAGAGCUUGAGGGUGUGAGAGGUGAGUGGAACCGACGGUGUAGGGGUGAAAUCCGUUGAUAUCGUCGGGAACACCAAAUGCGAAGGCAACUCACUGGCACAUUCCUGACGCUCAUGGACGACAGCUAAGGUAGCGAACGGGAUUAGAUACCCUGGUAG